AAUGGAGGCAACUCUGACCCAGCCAUGCCGCGUGCAGGAAGAAGGUCUAUGGAUUGUAAACUGCUUUUAUUUGGGAAUAACCUAGGUACGUGUACCUAGCUGAAUGUACCAAACGAAUAAGCACCGGCUAACUCCGUGCCAGCAGCCGCGGUAAUACGGAGGGUGCAAGCGUUAUCCGGAAUCAUUGUGUUUAAAGGGUCCGCAGGCGGAUUUAUAAGUCAGUGGUGAAAGCCUACAGCUUAACUGUAGAACUGCCAUUGAUACUGUAAGUCUUGAAUUCGGUCGAAGUGGGCGGAAUAUGUCAUGUAGCGGUGAAAUGCUUAGAUAUGACAUAGAACACCGAUAGCGAAGGCAGCUCACUAGGCCUGGAUUGACGCUCAGGGACGAAAGCGUGGGGAGCGAACAGGAUU
This 410-nucleotide ribosomal RNA is filed under the name uncultured Flavobacteriia bacterium. RNAcentral describes it as "bacterial SSU rRNA". It matches the Rfam family "Bacterial small subunit ribosomal RNA", at positions 370 to 779 of the family's 1533-position model. The record is from RNAcentral. Lineage: Bacteria; Pseudomonadati; Bacteroidota; Flavobacteriia.